UGGGGAAUAUUGGAUAAUGGGGGGAACCCUGAUCCAGCCAUGCCGCGUGUGUGAAGAAGUCCUUAUGGUUGUAAAGCACUUUAAGCGAGGAGGAGGGUACUGGUAUUAAUACUACCAGGUACUGGACGUUACUCGCAGAAUAAGCACCGGCUAACUCUGUGCCAGCAGCCGCGGUAAUACAGAGGGUGCGGGCGUUAAUCGGAUUUACUGGGCGUAAAGCGUGCGUAGGCGGCUAAUUGAGUCGGAUGUGAAAUCCCCGAGCUUAACUUGGGAAUUGCAUUCGAUACUGGUUAGCUAGCGUGUGGGAGAGGAUGGUAGAAUUCCAGGUGUAGCGGUGAAAUGCGUAGAGAUCUGGAGGAAUACCGAUGGCGAAGGCAGCCAUCUGGCCUAACACUGACGCUGAGGUACGAAAGCAUGGGGAGCAAACAGG
This 430-nucleotide ribosomal RNA is filed under the name Pseudomonadota bacterium. RNAcentral's name for it is "Proteobacteria bacterium partial 16S ribosomal RNA". It matches the Rfam family "Bacterial small subunit ribosomal RNA", at positions 355 to 776 of the family's 1533-position model. Lineage: Bacteria; Pseudomonadati; Pseudomonadota. The record is from RNAcentral.